UUAUUUUAUUUUAUAUUUAUACAUACUUUUACUAGUGUUUAAAUGAAAGGUAGACUAAAAGUCCAACCUUGUAAUAAUAAUGCACAGAGUGAAGGUAAUGAGGGUUGAAGAUCUGUAAAGAUACUUCUAAUAUUCAUUAAUGAUCCUUCCGCAGGUUCACCUACGGAAA
RNAcentral lists this unclassified non-coding RNA (169 nucleotides) under uncultured fungus. RNAcentral describes it as "sequence contains ITS1". Lineage: Eukaryota; Fungi. The record is from RNAcentral.